Molecule: ribosomal RNA, 515 nt
Filed under: uncultured bacterium
Lineage: Bacteria
Description: bacterial SSU rRNA
Rfam family: Bacterial small subunit ribosomal RNA
Source: RNAcentral
UAGUCCACGCCGUAAACGAUGAUUACUCGUUGUUGGCGAUACAUAGUCAGCGACUGAGCGAAAGCAUUAAGUAAUCCACCUGGGGAGUACGUUGGCAACAAUGAAACUCAAAGGAAUUGACGGGGGCCCGCACAAGCGGAGGAACAUGUGGUUUAAUUCGAUGAUACGCGAGGAACCUUACCUGGACUUAAAUGUAGAUUGCAUAGAGUAGAGAUAUUCUUUUCUUCGGACUAUUUACAAGGUGCUGCAUGGUUGUCGUCAGCUCGUGCCGUGAGGUGUCGGGUUAAGUCCCAUAACGAGCGCAACCCCUGUUGUUAGUUACCAGCACAUAAUGGUGGGGACUCUAACAAGACUGCCGGUGUAAACUGCGAGGAAGGUGGGGAUGACGUCAAAUCAGCACGGGCCCUUACGUCCAGGGGCUACACACGUGUUACAAUGGUCGGUACAAAGGGGCAGCUACACUGCGAAGUGAUGCUAAUCUCGAAAACCGGGUCUCAGUUCGGGAUCGGGAGUCU